This 254-nucleotide ribosomal RNA is filed under the name uncultured bacterium. RNAcentral describes it as "partial 16S ribosomal RNA". It matches the Rfam family "Bacterial small subunit ribosomal RNA", at positions 524 to 776 of the family's 1533-position model. The record is from RNAcentral.
UACGGGGGGAGCAAGCGUUGUUCGGAUUUACUGGGCGUAAAGGGCGCGUAGGCGGUCAGCACAAGUCGGUUGUGAAAUCUCCGGGCUUAACUCGGAAAGGUCAACUGAUACUGUGCGACUAGAGUGCAGAAGGGGCAACUGGAAUUCUCGGUGUAGCGGUGAAAUGCGUAGAUAUCGAGAGGAACACCUGCGGCGAAGGCGGGUUGCUGGGCUGACACUGACGCUGAGGCGCGAAAGCCAGGGGAGCGAACGGG